GUCUACGGCCAUACUACCCUGAACAUGCCCAAUCUUGUCUGAUCUCAGAAGCUAAGCAGGGUCAGGCCUGGUUAGUACUUGGAUGGGAGACCACCUGGGAAUACCAGGUGCCAUAGGCU
Molecule: ribosomal RNA, 119 nt
Filed under: Podarcis muralis (Common wall lizard)
Lineage: Eukaryota; Metazoa; Chordata; Lepidosauria; Squamata; Lacertidae
Source: RNAcentral